GACGAACCGUACGAACGUUAUUCGGAAUUACUGGGCUUAAAGGGCGCGUAGGCGGCGGGGUAAGUCGGGUGUGAAAUCUCAGGGCUCAACCCUGAAACUGCACUCGAUACUGCUCUGCUUGAGGACUGGAGAGGAGACUGGAAUUCACGGUGUAGCAGUGAAAUGCGUAGAUAUCGUGAGGAAGACCAGUGGCGAAGGCGGGUCUCUGGACAGUUCCUGACGCUGAGGCGCGAAGGCCAGGGGAGCAAACGGG
This 253-nucleotide ribosomal RNA is filed under the name uncultured bacterium. RNAcentral describes it as "partial 16S ribosomal RNA". It matches the Rfam family "Bacterial small subunit ribosomal RNA", at positions 524 to 776 of the family's 1533-position model. The record is from RNAcentral.